ACAACGUUUACCCCAUCAGACAAACUGAAAGUCAUCCAGCAGACUUUUGAAGAGAUCUCUCAGAGUGUCCUGGCGUCACUUCAGGAAGACUUCCUGUGGUCCAUGGAUGACUUAUUCCCUGUUUUCUUAUAUGUGGUGCUCCGGGCCAGGAUUAGGAAUUUAGGCUCUGAGGUACACCUCAUUGAGGAUCUAAUGGACCCAUAUCUUCAGCAUGGAGAACAGGGUAUAAUGUUCACUACUCUGAAGGCAUGUUACUACCAGAUCCAGCGUGAGAAGCUUAACUAGGCUGCCGAACAGCUUGACAACUGGCUUAUCUGUUCAGUGUUUCAGCACCAUCUGGUGUCUUCCUGGAGCAGCAAAAAGAACAGUGUUGAAAUUAGGACAUUGUAUUAUUAUGGUUGUUAUUUCUGAGCCUUGCUAGUGGUUGGAGCUCUGAGCCCAGAAUAAAAGACUGUAUGGUGGAAAGGGAGGGCGGAAAAGGAGGUAGAAAUCAGAUUAGACCAGUCCCUGGCCUGUGUUAGGUUUCCCAAGUGUCAUACAUCUGCUGUUGGAAAAACGAGGCUAUCCCUUCCUAUGGUAAAGAGUAUGCCAGCUCAUGAACUUGUAGGACAAAAUUCUCAGUGUGGCUUCUUACAUUAAAGAGGUUGAUGAAUGUUUUUGAGUUUCUGGUUUGCCCUCAGUCACCCCAGGCCCCUUUGCAAGGAACACUUUGUACUUGAAACUAUAGUAGCCACACUAUGCCUUCCAAAAUUCCUUGCAAUCAUGUGUGCACCAUGCUUCUUUGCUGAGGGGAGGGGAAAGAGGAACUUUUAAACUGCAAUUUUAACUUUUUCUAAGUUUUUCCACCAGGGCAUUUAUUCGUGAUGGCAAGGUUCUGUGCAGUUACUACUUCUACACCCUGACCCCAAACAUAGAGCACACCCAAAUAGGAGUCUGCUGCCUCCCGAUGAGAAAGAACAUAGGAAUUGUGUUCUUGGAUUCCUUACAGUGCUCCAGAGUGGAUACACUGGAAUUCAGACACUGACUCUGAGCUGCUGUGGAACCUCAUUCAUCCGCGUGCAAAUGCUGUGUUCCAGGAUCUGUGAAAGCCUGAAGGGCUUUUGCAUGCAGGCUGUUUUUAGAAUAGGACUGGAGACUGGGAAAUAUGGAAGCAAAGAACUGCAUCCAUCCUUGGCCUAGUAUUGUGGUUCUUCCCUGUACCUUGCACUGAACUCACAGAGGGGAAGGAAAAGGAAACUCACUUUGGCUUUCCCCAUCUCAAAAGUAUUGUGACACCUCAGCCUUUUAUUGUUUUGCUUUUCACCGUUUUUAAAUGUCCUGUUGUAAGUGGUUGGUUUACACUGUACAAACAACACUAGUAGCUAUUCUGGAUGACAUAGGUGCUCUUCCCCAUCUCAUCUCCUCCACUCCAGGCUGAGCGUUUGGAGUGUCCCCCUUCUGCUUCAUGGUAACAUCUGCAGAUGUUAAUCGAUUUUGAAAAAGGAUCAUGGUUUCUGCUCUACUUUAUAAUCAAGACAAGUGUUUAUUAAAAUACUGUUUUGGAAUGUUGGCUGUAAUGUAACAGCAAUUUUCAUAAUAAAAGAUUCAUAUUUAUGAA
Odocoileus virginianus texanus is the source of this 1597-nucleotide non-coding RNA. NCBI's taxonomy places the organism in Eukaryota, Metazoa, Chordata, Mammalia, Artiodactyla, Cervidae. The record is from RefSeq and is a predicted model, not a curated record.